GAUUUAUUGGGCGUAAAGAGCUCGUAGGUGGUUCGGUAAGUCGGAUGUGAAAUCUCCAGGCUCAACCUGGAGGGGUCAUUCGAUACUGCCGUGACUAGAGUUCGGUAGAGGAGUGUGGAAUUCCUGGUGGAGCGGUGAAAUGCGCAGAGAUCAGGAGGAACACCCGUAGCGAAGGCGGCACUCUGGGCCGAUACUGACACUGAGGAGCGAAAGCGUGGGGAGCGAACAGG
Molecule: ribosomal RNA, 230 nt
Filed under: uncultured bacterium
Lineage: Bacteria
Description: partial 16S ribosomal RNA
Rfam family: Bacterial small subunit ribosomal RNA
Source: RNAcentral